GAGUCCAUGUUCUUCAGUGAAGCUUUUUCUUUUGAGGGGAAUGUUGUCUGGCACGAGGCCCUUAACUUAGAUCUAUAUUUGAUUUUAUGUCUCUUCUUUAUUUAUUAGUCUAUAUAUACAUGAAUGAUCGAUUUUAACGGUUAAUGACGUCGGACCAGGCUUCAUUCCCCUCAAUUAUAUCGCUUCUUCGAUCUUGGCUU
RNAcentral lists this microRNA precursor (200 nucleotides) under Arabidopsis lyrata. RNAcentral's name for it is "miR166e stem-loop (aly-MIR166e)". Its record names the gene aly-MIR166e. The stretch from base 31 to 175 matches the Rfam family "mir-166 microRNA precursor family". From Rfam's summary of the family: This family represents the plant microRNA (miRNA) precursor mir-166. Animal miRNAs are transcribed as ~70nt precursors and subsequently processed by the Dicer enzyme to give a ~22nt product. The record is from miRBase by way of RNAcentral. Lineage: Eukaryota; Viridiplantae; Streptophyta; Magnoliopsida; Brassicales; Brassicaceae.